AAAAAAGGCGACGAAAGCCGGCCACAGAAAGCCAGGAGAAAGUCGAGAGCGUUUGAGGCCUGCGACACACGUCGGUGCAGAGCGAGGAAGGCGCGGCCCGGUUUUUCGCAAACUCGGGCGACAAGAAAGCAAGACGGAGGAAAGGAGAGAAGAAAGAACUCCCAAGUGGAGACAGGAGCGAAAGAAGACAACGAGCCCUGUGAAAGGGCAGGGGAAAAACGAGAAGAAUCCGGAUUUCCGUUGCAGGACUUCCCCCCAUCUGCCCGCUCACGCGCGAGCAGUGAAAGUGCGAGGCAUGAAGAGGCAGAAAAAGUUCCGCUCCGAGACCGGGGAGAAUUUCUGCGGGGAACGGAAGAGAGAGACGCUACAAGAGGCCCUCGACAAAGCUCGCAGAGAAACCGCCAGUCAAAAGUAGCGGCAAGGCGAUGCACACGGAGGAAGCUGUCUAAAAACUCGAACCUCCCGCGAUAAAAGAAGUUCAGAGACAGCAGAGACUUUACAGCCCCGACGUAAUAACCCCCACAGUUUUCUUCGACUAACAACGCAGACAGAACAGCCUUUUCGGCCCCGCAUGCAGCGACCGCAGAAAGAAGAGAUAUCUGAAACUCGAGAUCUGACAUGCUUCUCUCCCGACCGGAAGGGUGGCUCGAUUCACGACCCUGUGUCCCCCCCCUUGUUUAACCGAUCAAACAGCAAACAAGAGACCGAAAGAGAAGAAGCCAGGAAGCUUCCAAUACUCGAUCGCUGUCUCCGUUGUCUCGGGAACAAGCAAAAAGAGAGAC
RNAcentral lists this long non-coding RNA (782 nucleotides) under Toxoplasma gondii VEG. Lineage: Eukaryota; Apicomplexa; Conoidasida; Eucoccidiorida; Sarcocystidae. The record is from RNAcentral.